GCCCAACAACCACAGAAGCAGCAACAACAACCACAGCUGCAGCAACGACAACCACAGCUGCCCCAACGACAACCACAGCUGCCCCAACGACAAUCAGAUCGACAACCACAGCUGCUCUAACAACAACUGCGGCCCAAGGCUUGGAAUCACUGGUACAUCUACAGAUGAAGAUAACUUCUAUUGGAGUGGUCAGCAAUGAAACCAUCACUGAAGGUGUGAAACAGUUUUUCAGAGAACAGCUUCUGAAUGCAACAGCCUACACGAUCACCGUGACAAACAUUCAAAGGGUUACAGUUGCU
Molecule: long non-coding RNA, 299 nt
Organism: Perca fluviatilis (European perch)
Lineage: Eukaryota; Metazoa; Chordata; Actinopteri; Perciformes; Percidae
Exons: 3
Source: RefSeq, a predicted model, not a curated record